UACGUAGGGACCAAGCGUUGUUCGGAUUUACCGGGUGUAGAGGGCGCGUAGGCGGCGUGGUAAGUCAAUUGUGAAAUCUCCGAGCUUAACUCGGAACGGUCAAUUGAUACUGCUGUGCUAGAGUGCAGAAAGGGCAAUCGGAAUUCUUGGUGUAGCGGUGAAAUGCGUAGAUAUCAAGAGGAACACCUGAGGCGAAGGCGGGUUGCUAGGCUGACACUGACGCUGAGGCGCGAAAGCUAGGGUAGCAAACGGG
RNAcentral lists this ribosomal RNA (253 nucleotides) under uncultured bacterium. RNAcentral describes it as "partial 16S ribosomal RNA". It matches the Rfam family "Bacterial small subunit ribosomal RNA", at positions 524 to 776 of the family's 1533-position model. The record is from RNAcentral.